UAGGGAAUCUUCCGCAAUGGGCGAAAGCCUGACGGAGCAACGCCGCGUGAGUGAAGAAGGAUUUCGGUUCGUAAAGCUCUGUUGUUAGGGAAGAAUGAUUAUGUAGUAACUAUACAUAGUAGAGACGGUACCUAACCAGAAAGCCACGGCUAACUACGUGCCAGCAGCCGCGGUAAUACGUAGGUGGCAAGCGUUGUCCGGAAUUAUUGGGCGUAAAGCGCGCGCAGGUGGUUUAAUAAGUCUGAUGUGAAAGCCCACGGCUCAACCGUGGAGGGUCAUUGGAAACUGUUAAACUUGAGUGCAGGAGAGAAAAGUGGAAUUCCUAGUGUAGCGGUGAAAUGCGUAGAGAUUAGGAGGAACACCAGUGGCGAAGGCGGCUUUUUGGCCUGUAACUGACACUGAGGCGCGAAAGCGUGGGGAGCAAACAGGAUUAGAUACCCUGGUAGUCCACGCCGUAAACGAUGAGUGCUAAGUGUUGGUCUCAUAAGAGAUCAGUGCUGCAGCUAACGCAUUGAGCACUCCGCCUGGGGAGUACGACCGCAAGGUUG
Molecule: ribosomal RNA, 548 nt
Filed under: uncultured bacterium
Lineage: Bacteria
Description: bacterial SSU rRNA
Rfam family: Bacterial small subunit ribosomal RNA
Source: RNAcentral